RNAcentral lists this ribosomal RNA (408 nucleotides) under uncultured bacterium. RNAcentral describes it as "partial 16S ribosomal RNA". It matches the Rfam family "Bacterial small subunit ribosomal RNA", at positions 28 to 526 of the family's 1533-position model. The record is from RNAcentral.
GACGAACGCUGGCGGCGUGCUUAACACAUGCAAGUCGAACGAAGUGGCGAACGGGUGAGUAACGCGUAAUCAACCUGCCCUUCAGAGGGGGACAACAGUUGGAAACGACGGCUAAUACCGCAUAAUGAAGGUGGGGAUUGCGUGGGAUUAGCUAGUUGGGGGGGUAACGGCCCACCAAGGCGAUGGUCAGUAGCCGGUCUGGGAGGAUGAACGGCCACAUUGGGACUGGGACACGGCCCAGACUCCUACGGGAGGCAGCAGUGGGGAAUCUUCCGCAAUGGACGAAAGUCUGACGGAGCAACGCCGCGUGAGUGAUGACGGCCUUCGGGUUGUAAAGCUCUGUUAAUCGGGACGCGGUACCGGAAUAGAAAGCCACGGCUAACUACGUGCCAGCAGCCGCGGUAAUUC